CCUACGGGGGGCUGCAGUGAGGAAUAUUGGACAAUGGUCGGAAGACUGAUCCAGCCAUGCCGCGUGCAGGAUGAGGGUCCUAUGGAUUGUAAACUGCUUUUGUAAGGGAAGAAUAAGGAGUACGAGUACUUUGAUGACGGUACCUUACGAAUAAGCAUCGGCUAACUCCGUGCCAGCAGCCGCGGUAAUACGGAGGAUGCGAGCGUUAUCCGGAAUCAUUGGGUUUAAAGGGUCCGUAGGCGGGCUGAUAAGUCAGAGGUGAAAUCGUUCAGCUCAACUGAGCAACUGCCUUUGAAACUGUCAGUCUUGAAUGAUUGUGAAGUAGUUGGAAUGUGUAGUGUAGCGGUGAAAUGCUUAGAUAGUACACAGAACACCGAUAGCGAAGGCAUAUUACUAACAAUUUAUUGACGCUGAUGGACGAAAGCGUGGGGAGCGAACAGGAUUAGAUACCCGGGUAGUC
This 460-nucleotide ribosomal RNA is filed under the name uncultured Capnocytophaga sp. RNAcentral describes it as "bacterial SSU rRNA". It matches the Rfam family "Bacterial small subunit ribosomal RNA", at positions 338 to 795 of the family's 1533-position model. Lineage: Bacteria; Pseudomonadati; Bacteroidota; Flavobacteriia; Flavobacteriales; Flavobacteriaceae. The record is from RNAcentral.